CAGGAUGAACGCUAGCGACAGGCCUAACACAUGCAAGUCAGGGGCAGCACAAGGAGCAAUCUGAGGUGGCGACCGGCGCACGGGUGAGUAACACGUAUGCAACCUGCCUGUAAGCGGGGAAUAACCCGUUGAAAGACGGACUAAUACCGCAUAAUACUAAAUUACUGCAUGGUAAUUUAUUUAAACAUUUAUGGCUUACAGAUGGGCAUGCGCAUGAUUAGCUAGUUGGAGAGGUAACGGCUCCCCAAGGCAACGAUCAUUAGGGGUUCUGAGAGGAAGGUCCCCCACACUGGUACUGAGACACGGACCAGACUCCUACGGGAGGCAGCAGUGAGGAAUAUUGGUCAAUGGACGAGAGUCUGAACCAGCCAAGUCGCGUGCAGGAAGAAUGUCCUUAAUGGAUUGUAAACUGCUUUUGCAGGGGAAUAAAGUGCAUCACGUGUGAUGUUUUGUAUGUACUCUGCGAAUAAGGAUCGGCUAACUCCGUGCCAGCCGCUGC
Molecule: ribosomal RNA, 499 nt
Filed under: uncultured bacterium
Lineage: Bacteria
Description: bacterial SSU rRNA
Rfam family: Bacterial small subunit ribosomal RNA
Source: RNAcentral